Pectinophora gossypiella (pink bollworm) is the source of this 505-nucleotide long non-coding RNA. RefSeq lists it as uncharacterized. The record is from RefSeq and is a predicted model, not a curated record. Lineage: Eukaryota; Metazoa; Arthropoda; Insecta; Lepidoptera; Gelechiidae. The transcript has 3 exons.
GCAAGCGCUCAUCCCAUCUGUCCUUUGCCCUAAUAGAAGCAAUGAUUGACUUCCUGGAGAGGAACCCAGAUCUGGCAAAGGGUUUUUCAAAAACUCAAUAUGCCAGAGAGUGGAGCACUAGGAAGUUUUGUCAUAGCGGCUCAAUAAUAUGGGUGGGACGAUUAAAACAUACAAGCAGUGGACCAAACAAUCAGACCCAAUACAAUUGGUUCCCCAGCCUCCCUCUUUAAUACAAAGCAGUGGACAUUCAGAAAUUUCAGUGAGUUGAAGAGCAGCAGUUAGAAAUUCGGCGGCCCAAUGCACCGGUCAAGGCGAGCAUGAUGAAGCACAGCAUUGAGAGAGACGGAAUUGCCGCUAACGCUGUGGCGGCAGUGGAGGAAGAAUUAAAUGCGCUAGCAGAAUCUAUUAGGUUGAACUGGGGUCAAAUAAAUAAGUAUUUAAAUUGUAAUUUUAUAUUUUCAAGUUUUAAAGUAGAUUUUAUUAUACGUUAUACAUAUUAUUAUUA